GAUGAACGCUGGCGGCGUGCCUAAUACAUGCAAGUCGAACGAACAGACGAGGAGCUUGCUCCUCUGACGUUAGCGGCGGACGGGUGAGUAACACGUGGAUAACCUACCUAUAAGACUGGGAUAACUUCGGGAAACCGGAGCUAAUACCGGAUAAUAUAUUGAACCGCAUGGUUCAAUAGUGAAAGACGGUUUUGCUGUCACUUAUAGAUGGAUCCGCGCCGCAUUAGCUAGUUGGUAAGGUAACGGCUUACCAAGGCAACGAUGCGUAGCCGACCUGAGAGGGUGAUCGGCCACACUGGAACUGAGACACGGUCCAGACUCCUACGGGAGGCAGCAGUAGGGAAUCUUCCGCAAUGGGCGAAAGCUUGACGGAGCAACGCCGCGUGAGUGAUGAAGGUCUUCGGAUCGUAAAACUCUGUUAUUAGGGAAGAACAAAUGUGUAAGUAACUAUGCACGUCUUGACGGUACCUAAUCAGAAAGCCACGGCUAACUACGUG
This 497-nucleotide ribosomal RNA is filed under the name uncultured bacterium. RNAcentral describes it as "partial 16S ribosomal RNA". It matches the Rfam family "Bacterial small subunit ribosomal RNA", at positions 28 to 507 of the family's 1533-position model. The record is from RNAcentral.